This 3105-nucleotide long non-coding RNA is filed under the name Homo sapiens (human). RNAcentral describes it as "non-protein coding lnc-DDX18-1:7". Lineage: Eukaryota; Metazoa; Chordata; Mammalia; Primates; Hominidae. The record is from RNAcentral.
CAGACGGUUACCAGGGCGGCUUUGGGUGAGGACAUUGAAAAAGGUCAGACUCCCUGGGAGCAGCGCCCUGGACUCCAUUCUCAUCACAGACCAGUGGUUCCCAAUUGAAGUCAGUUUUGCUCCUCAGGGCACACUUAACAACAUCUGGAGACAUUUUUAAUUGUCCUGACCGAGAGGACAAUGCUACUGGCAUCUAGUGGACAGAGGCCAGGGAUACUGCUGAACAUCCCGCAGUGCACAGGACGCCUGCAACACAGAUUAUCCAGCCCCAAACGUCAAUAGUGCCGGAGUUAUGGAACCCUAAUGAAGACAAUUCUUGAAGGCAUAGACUGAAUCUUAUUUAUCUUUGUUUCCCUCAUGUCUCACAAGCAGAGUAUGAGUUCAGCAAAUAGGAGUUGAACAGAAAUCAGGAGGAGGUGCUGAUUGACAGGAAAAAAGAAAGAUUUAGUUUAGAGCUGAGAAUUCAGCUGGACAGCCAUAGGGGCUCUGGCAUGGAGACUGGAAGUCAGAAGAGAAUUUGCAGCAAGACAUUUAGAGCCAUUUAUCCAGCCAUCAUAAUUUUAUUGAGUAACUAUUUUGUGUGAGGCACUGUACUGGAUGCUUUGGCAACAGAGAUAAGCAAGGCAACCCCUGUGAAUAAGGCACUCCUGGUCUACACACAGUGGGAGAAACAUAGAAAUUCAUCUCUUCUGAGCGGAGCCUGUGGGAACCCAGAGGAUGGACACCCAGCGUGGUCUGAGGAAUCAUGGGCCAAAACAGGAGGCAUCAGGAGAGAUCUCUUGGGUAAAGAAGAGUGAGGGCUGGAAGGAUAUUCCAGGCAGUGGGAACAACUUACAUAAAGUGAGAAUAUUGCAAAUGCCUAGCGGGUCUGUAGUGAGAGGGUCAUGAGGCGGAGGAGUGAGGUGCGUAGCAAGGAAUAGCAGGUGGGGCCAGAGCAGUAAAAUUAACCAUUGUUCUAUUUGAAGAAGGGUAGGACGCAUUUUUAGGUUUUUUGGCUAUUUCUCCUUUUGGUAAUAGCAUCUAUUUUCUUUUAAAGGACUCACUUGUACGUGUACACAUUUCUCAGGAGUCCUGUCAACCACUGGGAAGAAAGAGGCUGGACUUCUGCAUUGAACCCAGGAACGGGGUUUCACAGCAAUGGAAACCUGGGGUUAAAUAUCAAUGGAACCUUACAUGACUUGAAGAAUCUUUAAUACAAGCUAGGUUUUGACCCCAAAUUAGACAUUUGGCAGCCUCUCAUUACAGUCUAUCUUGCAAACCUCAGUGUGGCAAGGAAUCAGAUUCACCCACACUCCCUAGUCUAAAGGAUUGUCCUCUGAUCCUUCCAGGUGGAUUAAGCCCUUUCUAAUCUGUCAUGGACAGAGCAAUGUACCUGCCUUUGUUUGUUUUCCUUAAUUCUUUCAAGUGCCUUUGGGUAAUAAAUGGUUGCGUACUCAGGUUUUUAGUCCAAAUUUUUUUUCUUCAACUCUAGGUAAUUGCUUUACUUGCCAGAAUAGGUUACCAUAGCAAUAUUUUCUGAGCAAUAGGUGAACUGAAUUGUACUAUUGAGGAAGCCCAGGAGAAAAAUACUAAUAACAACCUGAGAAAGUCUAAUCACUUUAUGGAGCCUCAGGGCUGUGAAGAGGGGGAUAAGACGGACUCCCUGGGUGAUUAGGAAGUGCUGCUGCCAGCUCACACAGGACGCAAUGUGAGAAGCCACCCAUGGUCCCCAAAUUCCCCCAUCUCCUGAUAUCCAAGUCCCCCAUCCAAGCUGCUUAAAUGACAAAAGACAAAUGUAAACUGGGGAAACAUUUGAAAUGCAUAUCAAAAAGGGGUAUUUCACAAAGCUCUCCAACAGGAGGCCUAGGAAGAUGGUAACAGCGAUACCAGAAUAAUGUUUGGAUCUUCCAGAGUGCCCAUGUGAAAACAGAGCAACCAAACUGAAAAGCCAUGGACAACAAAAGUCGGUGACAAAGUGUCACCUUGAAUCCUGAAAUACAAAUGAGUUCAACUGUCAAAUGGCUCAGGAAACAGCGAAAUCUCCAAUGGACCGUACAGGCAAACACAAGAAACUUGAAAAAGAAAAACAGAGAAAACAAGAAAAUCCUCCAUGACAAGAUCAUCUGGGAGCUGAAAAGCAAUUUGGAUGUAGUGCUUCAUAACACAAAACAUAAGCUCCUUUAAAGCAGUGCAAGUCCCAUUAAGUCUUUGUGAUAUUUUUGCAUUUCUUCACACAUGAUUUAAAAUUCACCUAUUUCCAAAAAGAUGUACAAUGAAAAAAGAAGACAAUAAACAAUAAAAAUAGAGAUAAUUUAUAAAAGUACAACAAAGGAAGGGAAAGAUAUAUGCAAUUAAUAAUUAAAUAUGAGCCACAGUGAGAUACAAGGAACACUGACUGAGAUGGCUAUAAUUUAAAAAGAAAAGAAAAAAUGGAAAAUAACAAAUGUUGCAAGAAUGUGAAGAAAUUGUAACCCUUAUACACUGCUGGGGGAGUGUAACAUGGCACAGCCACAGUGGAAAACAGUUCACCAGUUCAUCAAUAAGUUAAACAUAGAAUUAUCAUAUGACGCAACAAUUCCACUCCAAAGGAAAUGAAAACAGGGACUCCACCAGAUACUUGUAUGUCUAUGUCUUUGCAGCCUUAUUUACAAUAACCAAAAGAUGUAAACAGCCCAAAUGUCCAUCAACAGAUGAAUCCAGAAAUAAAAUGAGGUUUAUAUAUUCCAACGGAAGAUGAAAAGGGAUGAAAUUCUGACACAUGCUACAAGAUGGAUGAACCUUGAAAACACUUUGCUAAGUGAAAAUAGCCAGACACAAGAAGACAAAUACUAUACAAUUUUACUUAAAGUAUCUAGAAUAGGCAAAACUAAUAGAAAAAUAAAGUUAAUUAGAGGUUACCAGGGGUUGGGAGAAGGGAAAAUGAGGAGUUAUGGCUUCAUGGUUAGACAGUUUUUGUUUGAGGUGAUAAAAAAAAGUUUGGGAAUAGUAGUGGUGGUUGCAUAUGUUGUGAAGGUAAUUAAUGCUGCUGAAUUGUACACUUUAAAAUGUUUAAAAUGAUAAAUUUUAUGUUUAUAAAAUGUAAUAUGUAUAUAUGUGUGUAUAUAUAUACAUAUAUAUAUAUGUAAA